RNAcentral lists this ribosomal RNA (492 nucleotides) under uncultured bacterium. Its description in RNAcentral is "partial 16S ribosomal RNA". It matches the Rfam family "Bacterial small subunit ribosomal RNA", at positions 29 to 507 of the family's 1533-position model. The record is from RNAcentral.
AGUGAACGCUGGCGGUAGGCCUAACACAUGCAAGUCGAACGGCAGCACAGUAAGAGCUUGCUCUUACGGGUGGCGAGUGGCGGACGGGUGAGGAAUACAUCGGAAUCUACUUUUUCGUGGGGGAUAACGUAGGGAAACUUACGCUAAUACCGCAUACGACCUACGGGUGAAAGCAGGGGAUCUUCGGACCUUGCGCGAUUGAAUGAGCCGAUGUCGGAUUAGCUAGUUGGCGGGGUAAAGGCCCACCAAGGCGACGAUCCGUAGCUGGUCUGAGAGGAUGAUCAGCCACACUGGAACUGAGACACGGUCCAGACUCCUACGGGAGGCAGCAGUGGGGAAUAUUGGACAAUGGGCGCAAGCCUGAUCCAGCCAUACCGCGUGGGUGAAGAAGGCCUUCGGGUUGUAAAGCCCUUUUGCUGGGAAAGAAAAGUAGCAGGUUAAUACCCCGCUGUUCUGACGGUACCCAAAGAAUAAGCACCGGCUAACUUCGUG